Molecule: ribosomal RNA, 327 nt
Filed under: uncultured eukaryote
Lineage: Eukaryota
Description: partial 18S ribosomal RNA
Rfam family: Eukaryotic small subunit ribosomal RNA
Source: RNAcentral
CCCUUAGAUGUUCUGGGCCGCACGCGCGCUACACUGAUGCAUUCAACGAGCCUAUCCUUGACCGACAGGUCCGGGUAAUCUUUGAAUCUGCAUCGUGACGGGGAUAGAUUAUUGCAAUUAUUAAUCUUCAACGAGGAAUGCCUAGUAGGCGCAAGUCAUCAGCUUGCAUUGAUUACGUCCCUGCCCUUUGUACACACCGCCCGUCGCUCCUACCGAUUGAAUGAUCCGAUGAAUAUCAUGGACUGAGAGUGUUAGAGUUUUCGGACUUCUACACUUCUCGGGAAGUGAAGUGAAUCUUAUCAUUUAGAGGAAGGAGAAGUCGUAACA